This 432-nucleotide ribosomal RNA is filed under the name uncultured bacterium. Its description in RNAcentral is "partial 16S ribosomal RNA". It matches the Rfam family "Bacterial small subunit ribosomal RNA", at positions 29 to 506 of the family's 1533-position model. The record is from RNAcentral.
AACGAACGCUGGCGGCAUGCCUAACACAUGCAAGUCGAACGAGACCUUCGGGUCUAGUGGCGCACGGGUGCGUAACGCGUGGGAAUCUGCCCUUGGGUUCGGAAUAACAGUUGGAAACGACUGCUAAUACCGGAUGAUGACGUAAGUCCAAAGAUUUAUCGCCCAAGGAUGAGCCCGCGUAGGAUUAGCUAGUUGGUGAGGUAAAGGCUCACAAAGGCGACGAUCCUUAGCUGGUCUGAGAGGAUGAUCAGCAACACUGGGACUGAGACACGGCCCAGACUCCUACGGGAGGCAGCAGUGGGGAAUAUUGGACACUGGGCGAAAGCCUGAUCCAGCAAUGCCGCGUGAGUGAUGAAGGCCUUAGGGUUGUAAAGCUCUUUUACCCGGGAUGAUAAUGACAGUACCGGGAGAAUAAACACCGGCUAACUCCGG